UACGUAGGGUGCAGGCGUUAAUCGGAAUUACUGGGCGUAAAGCGUGCGCAGGCGGCUCCUUAAGUCAGAUGUGAAAGCCCCGGGCUUAACCUGGGAACUGCGUUUGAAACUGGGGAGCUGGAGUGUGGAAGAGGGGGGUGGAAUUCCAGGUGUAGCAGUGAAAUGCGUAGAGAUCUGGAGGAACACCGAUGGCGAAGGCAGCCCCCUGGGCUAACACUGACGCUCAUGCACGAAAGCGCGGGGAGCAAACAGG
This 253-nucleotide ribosomal RNA is filed under the name uncultured bacterium. RNAcentral's name for it is "partial 16S ribosomal RNA". It matches the Rfam family "Bacterial small subunit ribosomal RNA", at positions 524 to 776 of the family's 1533-position model. The record is from RNAcentral.